Molecule: long non-coding RNA, 260 nt
Organism: Pristis pectinata (smalltooth sawfish)
Lineage: Eukaryota; Metazoa; Chordata; Chondrichthyes; Rhinopristiformes; Pristidae
Exons: 3
Source: RefSeq, a predicted model, not a curated record
CAGAAACCAAAAUGAAUGCCUUCAAACAUAACUCACCAUGCCCAACAGUCAGGUUAUUCUGCUUCUGACUCCUCGCAUUGUACGUACUGUUGAAAGUAUCCUGAGUGGUUGCAUCAUCAUCUGGUAUGGCAACUCGAAUGCGCAGGAAUGUAAGAAGCUGCAGAGAGUAGUGGACUCUGCCCAUUACAUCACAGGCACAUCCCUCCUCACCAUUGGUAGUAUCUACAGAAGACAGUGCCUCAAGAAGGCAACAUCUAUCA